UACGGAGGGUGCGAGCGUUGUCCGGAAUUAUUGGGCGUAAAGAGCGUGUAGGCGGCCCGAUUAGUCCGCUGUGAAAGUCCAGGGCUCAACCCUGGAAUGCCGGUGGAUACUGUCGGGCUAGAGUCCGGAAGGGGCGAGUGGAAUUCCUGGUGUAGCGGUGAAAUGCGCAGAUAUCAGGAGGAACACCAAUGGCGAAGGCAGCUCGCUGGGACGUGACUGACGCUGAGACGCGAAAGCGUGGGGAGCAAACAGG
RNAcentral lists this ribosomal RNA (253 nucleotides) under uncultured bacterium. Its description in RNAcentral is "partial 16S ribosomal RNA". It matches the Rfam family "Bacterial small subunit ribosomal RNA", at positions 524 to 776 of the family's 1533-position model. The record is from RNAcentral.